GAUGAACGCUGGCGGCGUGCCUAAUACAUGCAAGUCGAACGCACAGCGAAAGGUGCUUGCACCUUUCAAGUGAGUGGCGAACGGGUGAGUAACACGUGGAUAACCUACCUCAAGGUUGGGGAUAACAUUUGGAAACAGAUGCUAAUACCGAAUAAAACUUAGUAUCGCAUGAUACCAGGUUAAAAGGCGCUACGGCGUCACCUAGAGAUGGAUCCGCGGUGCAUUAGUUAGUUGGUGGGAUAAAGGCUUACCAAGACAAUGAUGCAUAGCCGAGUUGAGAGACUGAUCGGCCACAUUGGGACUGAGACACGGCCCAAACUCCUACGGGAGGCUGCAGUAGGGAAUCUUCCACAAUGGGCGAAAGCCUGAUGAGCAACGCCGCGUGUGUGAUGAAGGCUUUCGGGUCGUAAAGCACUGU
RNAcentral lists this ribosomal RNA (418 nucleotides) under uncultured bacterium. RNAcentral's name for it is "bacterial SSU rRNA". It matches the Rfam family "Bacterial small subunit ribosomal RNA", at positions 28 to 436 of the family's 1533-position model. The record is from RNAcentral.